AUGGCUGGACUGAAGCCCAUUGUUGAGUUCAUGACCUUCAACUUCGCGAUGCAGGCGAUCGACCAGAUCAUCAACUCCGCCGCGAAGACGCUCUACAUGUCCGGCGGCCAGAUGGGCUGCUCGAUCGUGUUCCGCGGUCCGAACGGCGCAGCGGCACGCGUUGCUGCUCAGCACAGCCAGGAUUACUCGGCGUGGUACUCGCAGAUUCCCGGCCUCAAGGUUGUCUCGCCAUACUCCGCGGCGGACGCGAA
RNAcentral lists this unclassified non-coding RNA (251 nucleotides) under Hevea brasiliensis (rubber tree). Lineage: Eukaryota; Viridiplantae; Streptophyta; Magnoliopsida; Malpighiales; Euphorbiaceae. The record is from RNAcentral.